GAUGAACGCUGGCGGCGUGCCUAAUACAUGCAAGUCGAGCGAACGGACGAGAAGCUUGCUUCUCUGAUGUUAGCGGCGGACGGGUGAGUAACACGUGGAUAACCUACCUAUAAGACUGGGAUAACUUCGGGAAACCGGAGCUAAUACCGGAUAAUAUUUUGAACCGCAUGGUUCAAAAGUGAAAGACGGUCUUGCUGUCACUUAUAGAUGGAUCCGCGCUGCAUUAGCUAGUUGGUAAGGUAACGGCUUACCAAGGCAACGAUGCAUAGCCGACGUGAGAGGGUGGUCGGCCACACUGGAACUGAGACGCGGUCCAGACUCCUACGGGAGGCAGCAGUAGGGAAUCUUCCGCAAUGGGCGAAAGCCUGACGGAGCGACGCCGCGUGAGUGAUGAAGGUCUUCGGAUCGUAAUACUCUGUUAUUAGGGAAGAACAUAUGUGUAAGGAACUGUGCACAUCUUGACGGUACCUAAUCAGAAAGCCACGGCUAACUACGUG
This 497-nucleotide ribosomal RNA is filed under the name uncultured bacterium. RNAcentral's name for it is "partial 16S ribosomal RNA". It matches the Rfam family "Bacterial small subunit ribosomal RNA", at positions 28 to 507 of the family's 1533-position model. The record is from RNAcentral.